CCGGUGGAGAUAAGUGAAAAGGAGUAGCGUGAGGCGGUAGACAGCCUUGAAGAGGAUGAGAGGGCCUGCUGCUGGGGUUUACUCCUAGGUAUUUUUGGAUCAGUGCCGGCAGCCCAGUGCCGCUGCAUACUCCAGUACAGCCCAAACGUGGAUGCAGGUGGAUGUGGGCACCGUGGCCGCCACCAAGGAUGUGGGGGUCGCGCCACAACCGGCAUGGACGCGGUGGGAACGCCGAAACUGUCAAGGACACGGGAGCCACACUUCAGCCUUAGUGUUUUCCCUAAUUUCUUUAGGUCUAAAUACUGGAUGAGAUUCUCAUUUCUGGCAUUCUUCAUGAACCUAUCAAGGAGAACAUUUCAAUACUAAUUGCCGCAAAGGUGUUCUCA
This is a long non-coding RNA of Triticum dicoccoides, 386 nucleotides long. RefSeq lists it as uncharacterized. Lineage: Eukaryota; Viridiplantae; Streptophyta; Magnoliopsida; Poales; Poaceae. The transcript has 3 exons. The record is from RefSeq and is a predicted model, not a curated record.